CAAAUGUACUAUUUAGCACAAAAAAAUGUGAAUUUUUAAAACUGCGCUGUAAGCACAGUAUUUGACAGUUCUAUUUGACUCUCAGAUAUGAAGUGCACCGCUGUUCGCAAAUGUACUAUUUAGCACCAAAAAGUUUGCUUUUUUUUUAAACAAACAAUGUAACAGUAGUAUUUAAGGGUUUUAUUGGACUGCAAGAAAUGCAGUACGCAAAUGUACU
This is a non-coding RNA of Pelobates cultripes (western spadefoot toad), 217 nucleotides long. NCBI's taxonomy places the organism in Eukaryota, Metazoa, Chordata, Amphibia, Anura, Pelobatidae. The record is from the annotation of a GenBank genome assembly.